GAACGGUAACAGGAAGCAGCUUGCUGCUUUGCUGACGAGUGGCGGACGGGUGAGUAAUGUCUGGGAAACUGCCUGAUGGAGGGGGAUAACUACUGGAAACGGUAGCUAAUACCGCAUAACGUCGCAAGACCAAAGAGGGGGACCUUCGGGCCUCUUGCCAUCGGAUGUGCCCAGAUGGGAUUAGCUAGUAGGUGGGGUAACGGCUCACCUAGGCGACGAUCCCUAGCUGGUCUGAGAGGAUGACCAGCCACACUGGAACUGAGACACGGUCCAGACUCCUACGGGAGGCAGCAGUGGGGAAUAUUGCACAAUGGGCGCAAGCCUGAUGCAGCCAUGCCGCGUGUAUGAAGAAGGCCUUCGGGUUGUAAGUACUUUCAGCGGGGAGGAAGGUGUUGAGGUUAAUAACCUCAGCAAUUAACGUUACCCGCAGAAGAAGCACCGGCUAACUCCGUGCCAGCAGCCGCGGUAAUACGGAGGGUGCAAGCGUUAAUCGGAAUUACUGGGCGUAAAGCGCACGCAGGCGGUCUGUCAAGUCGGAUGUGAAAUCCCCGGGCUCAACCUGGGAACUGCAUUCGAAACUGGCAGGCUAGAGUCUUGUAGAGGGGGGUAGAAUUCCAGGUGUAGCGGUGAAAUGCGUAGAGAUCUGGAGGAAUACCGGUGGCGAAGGCGGCCCCCUGGACAAAGACUGACGCUCAGGUGCGAAAGCGU
Molecule: ribosomal RNA, 708 nt
Filed under: uncultured bacterium
Lineage: Bacteria
Description: bacterial SSU rRNA
Rfam family: Bacterial small subunit ribosomal RNA
Source: RNAcentral